UAUUUGAGCAGCCAGAGAGAUCGAUAGUCAUCAGUGAUUUCAACAAACAAGUGCUUUCUGGAAGAUUACUGAGUUGCUUACAAUCCCUCAAAUUCAAGGUAAUGAGUCCACUUAGAUGCCCAAUUGAUUUGGGAACCUCUUCUAUCGCAGUCCCAUUUAAAUUUAAAUACACUAUGUUCCCUGCAACUUCCGGACAGUGCCUAAGAUUUGAGCAGCCAGAAAGGUUAAGAGUCUUGAGUGAUCUCAAUUUAAUG
Molecule: unclassified non-coding RNA, 254 nt
Filed under: Hevea brasiliensis (rubber tree)
Lineage: Eukaryota; Viridiplantae; Streptophyta; Magnoliopsida; Malpighiales; Euphorbiaceae
Source: RNAcentral